This 402-nucleotide long non-coding RNA is filed under the name Solanum tuberosum (potato). Its description in RNAcentral is "long non-coding RNA (STUB_LNC011202)". The record is from RNAcentral. Lineage: Eukaryota; Viridiplantae; Streptophyta; Magnoliopsida; Solanales; Solanaceae.
AAACAAACAUAUUGCCAUUCAAAUGAAAGAACGGCUAGAAACUAAGUCUUAGCAAAAUAACUUAAAUUAUCCUAGACACAAGCUAUCUAAUUCUAAAUGGAGGACAUCCUAAUUCAUAUGCACUGGAAACAAAAAUAAAUAAAUACUCAAUGUUUAAAUGUCAUAAGCGUCCAAUAAAAUUCACGUAAUCAAAUACUUAGCCAAUGAAAAUAAUAUAAAGCAGGAAUGAAGCAUUUUAAGGAGAAGUCUAAAUCCGGAAACAUGUCAUUAAAAUAAUCAGUGGCAAGAAAUCAUUUUAGAAUGAUAGUAAUUUGUUCAAGUGAGCUUCUUAACAAAGAGUAGACAUGGAAAUUUAAAGUAAAUGGGCAGUCUAGCGAAAAGAAAAUGCGGAUUGAGAUAAGC